CGCACGGGUGAGUAACACGUAUGGAACCUGCCCUAUGCAGGGGGAUAAGCGGAAGAAAUUCCGUCUAAUACCGCAUAACACCAUUUGGAGACAUCUCCAGGUGGUCAAAGGAGGCGACUCCGGCAUAGGAUGGCCAUGCGUCGCAUUAGCUAGUCGGCGGGGUAACGGCCCACCGAGACGACGAUGCGUAGGGGUUCUGAGAGGAAGGUCCCCCACACUGGUACUGAGACACGGACCAGACUCCUACGGGAGGCAGCAG
Molecule: ribosomal RNA, 259 nt
Filed under: uncultured bacterium
Lineage: Bacteria
Description: partial 16S ribosomal RNA
Rfam family: Bacterial small subunit ribosomal RNA
Source: RNAcentral